This is a long non-coding RNA of Eubalaena glacialis (North Atlantic right whale), 167 nucleotides long. RefSeq lists it as uncharacterized. The record is from RefSeq and is a predicted model, not a curated record. NCBI's taxonomy places the organism in Eukaryota, Metazoa, Chordata, Mammalia, Artiodactyla, Balaenidae. The transcript is spliced from 3 exons.
AGUGAGGAGGCGAAGCGUGUUCGUCGUCGGGCGCUAAGGGCUUGUUGAGAAAGUCACCAGUCACAGGUGUGUACAUGUGACACCGGCACCUUGAAGUCUCUGGAGCCCUGGAAACUCCUGCAGCUCUGUCCACUGAAGAGGCCCAGAAGCAAUGUUAUCCAGAGGUA